This 466-nucleotide ribosomal RNA is filed under the name uncultured bacterium. RNAcentral describes it as "bacterial SSU rRNA". It matches the Rfam family "Bacterial small subunit ribosomal RNA", at positions 26 to 507 of the family's 1533-position model. The record is from RNAcentral.
AGGACGAACGCUGGCGGCGCGCCUAACACAUGCAAGUCGAACGAGCGAGAGAGAGCUUGCUUUCUCGAGCGAGUGGCGAACGGGUGAGUAACGCGUGGGUAACCUGCCCUGUACCGGGGGACAACAGUUGGAAACGACUGCUAAUACCGCAUAAGCGCACAGCAUCGCAUGAUGCAGUGUGAAAAACUCCGGUGGUACAGGAUGGACCCGCGUCUGAUUAGCUGGUUGGUGAGGUAACGGCCCACCAAGGCGACGAUCGGUAGCCGGACUGAGAGGUUGAACGGCCACAUUGGGACUGAGACACGGCCCAGACUCCUACGGGAGGCAGCAGUGGGGAAUAUUGCACAAUGGGGGAAACCCUGAUGCAGCGACGCCGCGUGGAGGAAGAAGGUCUUCGGAUUGUAAACUCCUGUUGUUGAGGAAGAUAAUGACGGUACUCAACAAGGAAGUGACGGCUAACUACGUG